Molecule: ribosomal RNA, 1014 nt
Filed under: uncultured bacterium
Lineage: Bacteria
Description: bacterial SSU rRNA
Rfam family: Bacterial small subunit ribosomal RNA
Source: RNAcentral
GGGGAAUAUUGCACAAUGGGCGCAAGCCUGAUGCAGCGACGCCGCGUGAGGGAUGGAGGCCUUCGGGUUGUAAACCUCUUUUGUUAGGGAGCAAGGCACUUUGUGUUGAGUGUACCUUUCGAAUAAGCACCGGCUAACUACGUGCCAGCAGCCGCGGUAAUACGUAGGGUGCAAGCAUUAUCCGGAAUUAUUGGGCGUAAAGGGCUCGUAGGCGGUUCGUCGCGUCCGGUGUGAAAGUCCAUCGCUUAACGGUGGAUCCGCGCCGGGUACGGGCGGGCUUGAGUGCGGUAGGGGAGACUGGAAUUCCCGGUGUAACGGUGGAAUGUGUAGAUAUCGGGAAGAACACCAAUGGCGAAGGCAGGUCUCUGGGCCGUUACUGACGCUGAGGAGCGAAAGCGUGGGGAGCGAACAGGAUUAGAUACCCUGGUAGUCCACGCCGUAAACGGUGGAUGCUGGAUGUGGGGCCCGUUCCACGGGUUCCGUGUCGGAGCUAACGCGUUAAGCAUCCCGCCUGGGGAGUACGGCCGCAAGGCUAAAACUCAAAGAAAUUGACGGGGGCCCGCACAAGCGGCGGAGCAUGCGGAUUAAUUCGAUGCAACGCGAAGAACCUUACCUGGGCUUGACAUGUUCCCGACGAUCCCAGAGAUGGGGUUUCCCUUCGGGGCGGGUUCACAGGUGGUGCAUGGUCGUCGUCAGCUCGUGUCGUGAGAUGUUGGGUUAAGUCCCGCAACGAGCGCAACCCUCGCCCCGUGUUGCCAGCGGAUUAUGCCGGGAACUCACGGGGGACCGCCGGGGUUAACUCGGAGGAAGGUGGGGAUGACGUCAGAUCAUCAUGCCCCUUACGUCCAGGGCUUCACGCAUGCUACAAUGGCCGGUACAACGGGAUGCGACAGUGCGAGCUGGAGCGGAUCCCUGAAAACCGGUCUCAGUUCGGAUCGCAGUCUGCAACUCGACUGCGUGAAGGCGGAGUCGCUAGUAAUCGCGAAUCAGCAACGUCGCGGUGAAUGCGUUCCC